This 228-nucleotide unclassified non-coding RNA is filed under the name uncultured fungus. Its description in RNAcentral is "sequence contains ITS1, 5.8S rRNA gene". The stretch from base 180 to 228 matches the Rfam family "5.8S ribosomal RNA", at positions 1 to 49 of the family's 154-position model. Lineage: Eukaryota; Fungi. The record is from RNAcentral.
UCUCCGUAGGUGAACCUGCGGAGGGAUCAUUACUGAGUGAGGGCCUUCGGGCUCGACCUCCAACCCUUUGUGAACACAACUUGUUGCUUCUGGGGCGACCCUGCCGUUUCGAUGGCGAGCGCCCCCGGAGGCCUUCAAACACUGCAUCUUUGCGUCGGAGUUUAAAACAAAUUAAACCAACCUUUCACCAACGGAUCUCUUGGUUCUGGCAUCGAUGAAGAACGCAGC